CCUACGGGUGGCAGCAGUGGGGGAUAUUGCACAAUGGGGGAAACCCUGAUGCAGCGACGCCGCGUGGGUGAAGAAGUAUUUCGGUAUGUAAAGCCCUAUCAGCAGGGAAGAAAGAAGACGGUACCUGACUAAGAAGCCCCGGCUAACUACGUGCCAGCAGCCGCGGUAAUACGUAGGGGGCGAGCGUUAUCCGGAUUCACUGGGUGUAAAGGGAGCGUAGACGGCCGUGCAAGCCAGGAGUGAAAGCCCGGGGCCCAACCCCGGGACUGCUCGUGGAACUGUGCGGCUGGAGUGCGGGAGGGGCAGGCGGAAUUCCUGGUGUAGCGGUGAAAUGCGUAGAUAUCAGGAGGAACACCGGCGGCGAAGGCGGCCUGCUGGACCGCGACUGACGUUGAGGCUCGAAAGCGUGGGGAGCGAACAGGAUUAGAUACCCUUGUAGUC
This 441-nucleotide ribosomal RNA is filed under the name uncultured bacterium. RNAcentral describes it as "partial 16S ribosomal RNA". It matches the Rfam family "Bacterial small subunit ribosomal RNA", at positions 338 to 795 of the family's 1533-position model. The record is from RNAcentral.